This 292-nucleotide ribosomal RNA is filed under the name uncultured Fonticella sp. Its description in RNAcentral is "partial 16S ribosomal RNA". It matches the Rfam family "Bacterial small subunit ribosomal RNA", at positions 505 to 796 of the family's 1533-position model. Lineage: Bacteria; Bacillati; Bacillota; Clostridia; Eubacteriales; Clostridiaceae. The record is from RNAcentral.
GUGUCAGCAGCCGCGGUAAUACGUAGGUGGCAAGCGUUGUCCGAAAUUAUUGGGCGUAAAGGGUGCGUAGGCGGUUUUUUAAGUGAGAUGUGAAAUACCUAGGCUUAACUUAGGAAUGGCAUUCCAAACUGGAAGACUAGAGUGCAGGAGAGGAAAGUGGAAUUCCCAGUGUAGCGGUGAAAUGCGUAGAGAUUGGGAGGAACACCAGUGGCGAAGGCGACUUUCUGGACUGUAACUGACGCUGAGGCACGAAAGCGUGGGGAGCAAACAGGAUUAGAAACCCUAGUAGUCC